This 288-nucleotide unclassified non-coding RNA is filed under the name Hevea brasiliensis (rubber tree). Lineage: Eukaryota; Viridiplantae; Streptophyta; Magnoliopsida; Malpighiales; Euphorbiaceae. The record is from RNAcentral.
AUGAAAACUUCCUAUUUAUUUCUGAAGGCAUAUUAAAAUGGACGCUAUUCACAGUAAACUUCAUCAUCAUCAAAUGAUAUAAAAUAAACAAACAAAAGGGUGUCCCCAUGAAUAAGGCUUCCAACAUUGCAGGCUUUAAGGAGGACUUAAGAAGGAUGUUUCAGUGGUUUGAGCCCUUGAUCUCCAAUCCACAUUGGAACAUAAACAUUGCCCCCAUCCUCCACAGAGGAACGUAAAGACAUGAAUAAAUCAGUUAAAUAAAAUUUACAAGGGUUGGGCUUCUCAAUA